Molecule: ribosomal RNA, 409 nt
Filed under: Mustela eversmannii (steppe polecat)
Lineage: Eukaryota; Metazoa; Chordata; Mammalia; Carnivora; Mustelidae
Description: partial 16S ribosomal RNA
Rfam family: Bacterial large subunit ribosomal RNA
Source: RNAcentral
CUCCAGCAUAUCUAGUAUUGGAGGCACUGCCUGCCCAGUGACACUAGUUUAACGGCCGCGGUAUCCUGACCGUGCAAAGGUAGCAUAAUCAUUUGUUCUCUAAAUAGGGACUUGUAUGAAUGGCCACACGAGGGUUUAACUGUCUCUUACUUCCAAUCAGUGAAAUUGACCUUCCCGUGAAGAGGCGGGAAUAUACCAAUAAGACGAGAAGACCCUAUGGAGCUUCAAUUAACUAACCCACAAUAACCAAUCAAUAUGCCAACCAGGCCUAACAUAAUCUUAUUUCUGGGUUAGCAAUUUAGGUUGGGGUGACCUCGGAGAAUAAAAUAACCUCCGAGUGAUUUAAUCUGAGACAAACCAGUCAAAGCGUCCUAUCAUUAAUUGAUCCAAUAAUUUGAUCAACGGAACA